CUCAUAAUAAAUGCACUGGUCUGGUGUGCUUCUCCGCCGUGGUGCUCGCUGUCUGAUACGUGCUUCCGGGCCGUCGGAGGUGGGGAGGGCUGAUUCUUGUUUGCCAGCACAUUCCGAUUUCUAUGCUUAUGAGCCUGCAGGCUUUCUGCGACUUGUGGCUCUUGUGCAUAAUCUAUGGGUUUGGUUGCUUCCGCUCGGUCCCGGUCGACGCUAGUGUUGGCUUCGUGUGCUUUCUCCGCUGGUGAUGUUGCCGGAGUGCCUCGCCUGGUAUUUCUGUCAUGUUCUUCGGGCCGGUCUCUGGGGUUCCUCGAUGUGGCACCUAUAUGUGCACCAUCAAUAUCCUC
RNAcentral lists this long non-coding RNA (344 nucleotides) under Androctonus crassicauda. The record is from RNAcentral. Lineage: Eukaryota; Metazoa; Arthropoda; Arachnida; Scorpiones; Buthidae.